RNAcentral lists this ribosomal RNA (253 nucleotides) under uncultured bacterium. RNAcentral describes it as "partial 16S ribosomal RNA". It matches the Rfam family "Bacterial small subunit ribosomal RNA", at positions 524 to 776 of the family's 1533-position model. The record is from RNAcentral.
UACGGAGGGGGCGAGCGUUAUUCGGAAUUAUUGGGCGUAAAGGGCGCGUAGGCGGCUUGAUGUGUCAAAGGUGAAAUCCCUCGGCUCAACUGAGGAACUGCCUUUGAAACUGUCUGGCUUGAGGCCGGGAGAGGGUAGCGGAAUUCCCAGUGUAGCGGUGAAAUGCGUAGAUACUGGGAGGAACACCGGUGGCGAAGGCGGCUACCUGGGCCGGUUCUGACGCUGAGGUGCGAAAGCGUGGGGAGCAAACAGG